This 260-nucleotide unclassified non-coding RNA is filed under the name Hevea brasiliensis (rubber tree). The record is from RNAcentral. Lineage: Eukaryota; Viridiplantae; Streptophyta; Magnoliopsida; Malpighiales; Euphorbiaceae.
CAUAGCUCAAGCAAAGACUCUAGAGCAUCUGCCCUUUGCUGACCAGGAUUCUCCCAUUCGCUUUUGGUUUCAUCACCAUGCAUUGCAGCAAGUGUAUUAAGCAAUUGAAUUUCACUUGGUGUUGGCACCUUCAUCCCACAAGCAUCAUCUUUCUCCGUUGGCAUGGAGCAAUUAUCCUUAUCUGGUUUUGCUCCAAUUUCGUCUUUACAUGGAAGGAUAUCAUUACUUUCAGAUGAUAAGUAUUCCAUAUGAGUUCCUUC